Diplonema papillatum is the source of this 75-nucleotide non-coding RNA. The record is from the annotation of a GenBank genome assembly. Lineage: Eukaryota; Euglenozoa; Diplonemea; Diplonemida; Diplonemidae.
GUUCCCGUGGUCUAGUUUGGUUAUGACGUCGCCUUAACACGGCGAAGGUCUCGGUUCGAAGCCCGAACGGGAAUA